UUCUGGCUCAGGAUGAACGCUGGCGGCGUGCUUAACACAUGCAAGUCGAACGAGGCUCAUCUGUGGAAGUUUCGGAUGGAACGGAUGUGACCGAGUGGCGGACGGGUGAGUAACGCGUGGGGAACCUGCCCCAUUCCGGGGGAUACCAGUUGGAAACGACUGUUAAUACCGCAUAAGCGCACGGGAAGGCAUCUUCCAGUGUGAAAAACUGAGGUGGAAUGGGAUGGCCCCGCGUCUGAUUAGCCAGUUGGCAGGGUAACGGCCUACCAAAGCGACGAUCAGUAGCCGGCCUGAGAGGGCGACCGGCCACAUUGGGACUGAGACACGGCCCAAACUCCUACGGGAGGCAGCAGUGGGGAAUAUUGCACAAUGGGGGGAACCCUGAUGCAGCGAACGCCGCGUGAGUGAGGAAGUAUUUCGGUAUGUAAAGCUCUAUCAGCAGGGAAGAAGAUGACGGUACCUGCACAAGAAGCCCCGGCUAACUACGUGCCAGCAGCCGC
RNAcentral lists this ribosomal RNA (500 nucleotides) under uncultured bacterium. RNAcentral describes it as "bacterial SSU rRNA". It matches the Rfam family "Bacterial small subunit ribosomal RNA", at positions 17 to 518 of the family's 1533-position model. The record is from RNAcentral.